CCAACCGUGACUCCUUUCCCACCCCACGAUCUCUCCUCUCCUCUCCUCCACAUCCGCCGCACCCCCCGCGCCACCUACCUCCUCUCCAGCGGCGACCUCCGCCCACUGCCCCCGAUCCUCUCCACAUCCCCUCACCUUCUAUCCCACAGCAGGGCCCCUAGAUCAAGGAGGCAGGCACCGUCAGAUCCGCCAUGCCCACAGCUCUCUCUGCCCCACCCCAAACCCUACCCACAGCCGCCGCCGUGCUCCAUCACCAGCGACCUUGCCGCCGCUGCCCCUCUCCCCUCGCCCUAUCUCCAUACCUGCGACACCGAGCCGGACGGGAGGAGCCACCGCCCCACAGCACGCGCGUGCCGGUAGGGCGAGGGGAUCAGUAUGUACAGGCGGUGCCCCCGCCGGAUCUGAACAAGAACACCGGGUGGUUCAUGUACCUGGCAUUCCUAGAUCCAUCCGCCCCAUCCUCUCCUCACCCUAUCUUCCUCGGUGUUGGGGCAUCCAGAUCGAGCAGGUCAGGUGCCCGCGCUCCAUGAUCUCCAUGCGAUGCACCGGCGAGGCGACAGAGGUGCUCGUGGUGGACGCCUCCGCCGUCUUCCACCGACACGCAGCCGCGCCCUCCAACGCCGCUCUUCCACACGACGACAGACCUGUGUGCCGCUCGGCUGGGACAGAACCCCGCGCUCGACGAUGCCAUGGACAUGGAGGUCUUCAAGGGGAAGCUGAUACCCACACGGCCAGCUCGUGCUCACUGUGUUUGACCGCCAGCUUGUGCUCUACCGCGACGAGUACCGAUGCCCACACAGGUAUGACCUGCGUGCCCCCAUGACCUUGCACCGGUGCUAUGUGCGUGAGCGCAUGCGCGCUUGCUGCAAUGUCGGGUGUGGUGGUGUGUUGAAAACUUACGAUGGGGGCGGCCAGGUGGUGCGUGGCCGUGUGUGUGGCGAUGUAUGGAGCUCCGGAGAUUCCUAUUGGAUUGCCGAGACUUGGUCUUGGUUCUGCCGUUGGUCUUUAUGAAGCUUUGGAACUGAGGGACGGUGGAUCUAACUACUUGGGAAAGGGUGUUUCCAAGGUCUGGCAGCACCGCCGCGUCGACAACGAAGGUGGUGAUCGCAGCGGCGAGCGGCGCGAGUUGGUGGCUGCGGGACUCGACAACACGUCUCAUAUAUGUGCUUUCGACUAAUCCAGCUUCUUUUGGUCUAGCUGGGCAUUACUUUGAGUUCAUGACCGCAUGAUAGACUACUAAAUGGACAAGUAUCUGCAACGUUCAGCGUCAAAGAUGAUGCUUACCAGAUGUUCUACUGCAGCCCCAUCCAUAUCAUCGACAUGAAGUUAGAUUUUUGGCCUUUAUUCGUCAAAAGUUUGUGUACAAGGAACUCCAGGAGAAGAAUCUUUAAGUAAAUAAUUUAUAUAGAUCAGGAUCUUAUGUUGUCGAGGUGGCUGCUACUGUGACCAAAGAUCAGCCUGGAGUUGUGCAUCAUAGUCUUAGUUGAUGUUGCCACCAUGUUUUGGUGCCUGUGUAUUUGAUUGUAUGACACUUGAUGGAUCGUGUAGUCGUGUACGUGCUGUUUUGAGUUUCAUUUAGUGAUUUCUGGAUUUGAUCAUUUAAUUGAGAAAAUUAUUUAUUGUUUA
RNA transcript from Triticum aestivum (bread wheat), 1626 nucleotides. RefSeq lists it as uncharacterized. The transcript is spliced from 6 exons. Lineage: Eukaryota; Viridiplantae; Streptophyta; Magnoliopsida; Poales; Poaceae. The record is from RefSeq and is a predicted model, not a curated record.